This 1383-nucleotide ribosomal RNA is filed under the name Triticum aestivum (bread wheat). Its description in RNAcentral is "partial small subunit ribosomal RNA". The record is from RNAcentral. Lineage: Eukaryota; Viridiplantae; Streptophyta; Magnoliopsida; Poales; Poaceae.
AUGGGCCAGAUGCAAGUCAGACUAGCCGUACCAGCGUUGCUCUGUCCAAAGCGCAGCUCCGCCUCGCCCCUGCUCCCCGCAGCUCCCGCGCGGGCGUCCUCUGCUUGGCGCCGCCUUUGCUUCAGCCGGACCGCCCCGUAUCCUCCCGCGCGUGGCUCCGCAACCACGCGCCUGCGCCGGUCCGCCCGCAGCUCGUCUGCCUUCGCGCGCCUCCUCCGUCGUGCGUCGCCCGCGCCUGGCCGCCUCCGCGUUCCUGCGCCAGCUCCUCGUCACCUGGUGCGCCGCCCAGUCGGCUUCCUGCAGACUGGCCAUCUCACCCGCAGGGCCCGUGGCCGGCUGCUCGGCUCCGCCAGCCGCCUGCCGAGUCCGCCACGCCGGUUGCUCCGCCUCCCCGCCUGCCGGUUGCGCUCGCCUGUGUCCGCCUGCUCCACUCGGGGUCGCCGUCUCCGCUCCGCCCUGGCCGCUGGGCCGGCUCCCGCGCCUGUUCACGACCCGUCGCGGGCCGCCGCUCCACAGCUGGCCUCUCUUGCAGCACCAGCCCACCAGCCGCUGCCGUGCUCGGCCUGCUCAUCGCACCUCCACGCCUCCGCGGCUGCUGCGCCGCCCCGCGCCGGCUUCUCCGCCGCGCCCUCGCGUCGCGGGACGGACCGCCGGAGCCCCGUCUCCUGCGUCGUCCGCGGCUGCAUGCGCUGCGCCCGCGACCGCGUCCGCGUUGGGUCGCCCCCGACCCCGUCCGGAGUCCCGCGACUCGUCCACGCCGGCAUGCGCCAGCAUCCGGCUCCGCGUUGGCCAUCAACGCAGCGCCCGCCCGGCCUCGUCGACACGCCUCCGGCCGCCUCCCCAUACCGGCCCCGUUGGCCUCCCGAGCCCCUGCCGGGUCGCCGCGCCUCCCGUCGCGCCUGCCGGCCUCGGGAGUGCUUGGUUGCCGGGUCACCGUCCGGCUACUCCUCCGACCGGCUUCCUCCCCGCCGUGUCGGUGGCCCUGCCGGGUCGCCCGCCUCGCCCCUGCCGGGUCCGCGAGCGCCGCCUCCGCCGUCUCGUCCUCCCGCGCGCUGGUCGCUCCCGCUCCCAGGCCUCCUUCGCGGCUUUGGUUCGGCGCCCGCCUGCCGGCCUCGCCUCCGACCCGGCCGCUUGCAGGCUCCCCGCAAGCCGGCUGCCCGUCACCUCUCCUCCGCGCGCCUUGCCCGCGGCCGGGUCACCCGAUCGCCGACUCGCCCAGCCGGCUUCCCGCACGCCGGCUGGCCGGGUCGCCGCCGCGCCCGCCGGCUUCCGCUCCCCCGCGGCCGGGUCGCCCGCUGCCGGGUCGCCGCCAGCCGGCCCCGCACGCGCGCGGGCUCCCCCUUUGUCCUGCUGCUCGGGCAUAAGGGCAUGCCCAACGGUUAG